UGAAAUUAUACUAAAACAAUUAUUCGCCUUAGGCUCGGUGGUUAUUGUUAAAUGAAAACUUCGACUUUGUCUCUGUCCCUACUUACCGAUAAUCACCUAGCCUUCGGCAAUAAAUUGUUAAUUAUUUCUGUUUUCUAUAAUUAUAUUCAUAUUUUGUAAAGGGCCCACUGUAAUUGGUGUUAAGCUGUUGUGGUGUCCCAGCUUCUUUAAUGCAUUCAUUGUAUAAUGUUUGGAAGCGAAGCACAAUAAAUAAAUAAAUAAAUAAAAGUACCUUUU
Molecule: non-coding RNA, 276 nt
Organism: Paramuricea clavata
Lineage: Eukaryota; Metazoa; Cnidaria; Anthozoa; Malacalcyonacea; Plexauridae
Source: the annotation of a GenBank genome assembly